RNAcentral lists this ribosomal RNA (648 nucleotides) under Planctomycetota bacterium. RNAcentral's name for it is "bacterial SSU rRNA". It matches the Rfam family "Bacterial small subunit ribosomal RNA", at positions 1 to 628 of the family's 1533-position model. The record is from RNAcentral. Lineage: Bacteria; Pseudomonadati; Planctomycetota.
AAGUGAAGGGUUUGAUCCUGGCUCAGAACGAACGUUGGCGGCGUGGAUGAGGCAUGCAAGUCGCGCGAGAAAGCGCCUUCGGGUGCGAGUACAGCGGCGGACGGGUGAGUAACACGUGACCGACCUGCCCUUGAUUCCGGGACAACAGCGGGAAACUGCUGCUAAUACCGGAUGGUCCAUCUGGACUGCAUGGUUUGGAUGGUAAAGGUGGGGAUCCUGCGGGACCUACUGAUCGAGGAGGGGGUUGCGGCCUAUCAGCUAGUUGGCGGGGUAACGGCCCACCAAGGCGACGACGGGUAGCAGGCCUGAGAGGGUGGUCUGCCACACUGGGACUGAGACACUGCCCAGACUCCUACGGGAGGCUGCAGUCGAGGAUCUUCCGCAAUGGGCGCAAGCCUGACGGAGCGACGCCGCGUGGAGGACGAAGGCCUUAGGGUUGUAAACUCCUGUCGAGGGUUAUGAAUUGCGUUGUACGAACAGUGCGACGAGUGACGUAAGCCCUGGAGGAAGCACCGGCUAACUCUGUGCCAGCAGCCGCGGUAAUACAGAGGGUGCAAGCGUUGUUCGGAAUUAUUGGGCGUAAAGCGCGUGUAGGCGGCUUGGCAAGUCGGGUGUGAAAGCCCUCAGCUCAACUGAGGAAGGGCGCCC